RNAcentral lists this long non-coding RNA (330 nucleotides) under Anser brachyrhynchus (Pink-footed goose). Its description in RNAcentral is "lncRNA (ENSABRG00000002782.1)". Lineage: Eukaryota; Metazoa; Chordata; Aves; Anseriformes; Anatidae. The record is from RNAcentral.
CUGUAUCCUUGAGCGUGCCCAAUUAUCCCCGUUUACAGCAGCUUUAGGAAAAUACGAUUUUGACAGCAGUUGAAUGCGCUUGAAAACGGCGUUACGUUACUGAUCUCGGCCACCUGAAAUUGGGGUCAAAAAUGAGACUUCCAGCCUGACAGCGUGUACCUGCAGCAGCAGUAAACCCACAGCAGAAAUAAACCGACGUAACCAGCCGGUAAUUACCCAGAAACGCGCUCCCUUCCCCUCCUCACCUAAUUGCUGGGGCUUUCUGGGGGUGCUGGCUCACGUGGCGUGCCCUGGGGGCAGCAGGUUUGGGCUGUAGUGUCUUAAAAAAUA